Molecule: ribosomal RNA, 497 nt
Filed under: uncultured bacterium
Lineage: Bacteria
Description: partial 16S ribosomal RNA
Rfam family: Bacterial small subunit ribosomal RNA
Source: RNAcentral
GACGAACGCUGGCGGCGUGCCUAAUACAUGCAAGUUGAGCGCUGAAGGUUGGUACUUGUACCAACUGGAUGAGCAGCGAACGGGUGAGUAACGCGUGGGGAAUCUGCCUUUGAGCGGGGGACAACAUUUGGAAACGAAUGCUAAUACCGCAUAAAAACUUUAAACACAAGUUUUAAGUUUGAAAGAUGCAAUUGCAUCACUCAAAGAUGAUCCCGCGUUGUAUUAGCUAGUUGGUGAGGUAAAGGCUCACCAAGGCGAUGAUACAUAGCCGACCUGAGAGGGUGAUCGGCCACAUUGGGACUGAGACACGGCCCAAACUCCUACGGGAGGCAGCAGUAGGGAAUCUUCGGGAAGAGACGAAAGUCUGACCGAGCAACGCCGCGUGAGGGAAGAAGGUUGUCGGAUCGUAAAACUCUGUUGGUAGAGAAGAACGUUGGUGAGAGUGGAAAGCUCAUCAAGUGACGGUAACUACCCAGAAAGGGACGGCUAACUACGUG